This 540-nucleotide ribosomal RNA is filed under the name Staphylococcus sp. RNAcentral describes it as "bacterial SSU rRNA". It matches the Rfam family "Bacterial small subunit ribosomal RNA", at positions 1 to 526 of the family's 1533-position model. Lineage: Bacteria; Bacillati; Bacillota; Bacilli; Caryophanales; Staphylococcaceae. The record is from RNAcentral.
UUGGAGAGUUUGAUCCUGGCUCAGGAUGAACGCUGGCGGCGUGCCUAAUACAUGCAAGUCGAGCGAACAGACGAGGAGCUUGCUCCUCUGACGUUAGCGGCGGACGGGUGAGUAACACGUGGAUAACCUACCUAUAAGACUGGGAUAACUUCGGGAAACCGGAGCUAAUACCGGAUAACAUGUUGAACCGCAUGGUUCAACAGUGAAAGACGGUCUUGCUGUCACUUAUAGAUGGAUCCGCGCCGCAUUAGCUAGUUGGUAAGGUAACGGCUUACCAAGGCAACGAUGCGUAGCCGACCUGAGAGGGUGAUCGGCCACACUGGAACUGAGACACGGUCCAGACUCCUACGGGAGGCAGCAGUAGGGAAUCUUCCGCAAUGGGCGAAAGCCUGACGGAGCAACGCCGCGUGAGUGAAGAAGGUCUUCGGAUCGUAAAACUCUGUUAUUAGGGAAGAACAAAUGUGUAAGUAACUAUGCACGUCUUGACGGUACCUAAUCAGAAAGCCACGGCUAACUACGUGCCAGCAGCCGCGGUAAUAA